GGCUUUGCACUUCAUGCAGAAACCUGACAAGACAUGAAAAAUAUUGUUUUCUUCUGUGUACUUUGGUUUGGAAAUAUGCAAAUCACUUUCAGUGAUGCAUCACUACAAGGAUCUUCUGAUCUGCUGAGAGUUCAGAAAGGAGAAAGCAUCAUUCUGAACUGCAGCAUGAGAAACCGAUAUGAAGUCGCCUGGUAUCACCUCAGAGCUAGCCGAUUCAAACUUAUGAUUUCUGCACAGACAGACAUAACAGGGAGAAAAUUUCUGACCACCUACAAUCAAAACUUUACUCGUCUGAAAAUCACUGCAGACACAUGGAUCACCAGAGCCACGCUAGAGGUUUCUAGAGUAACAGAGUCAGAUUCAGGCUUUUAUUUCUGUGGAACAAGGUCUAACACGACAGAGAUGCUCUUCGACAAACCCACCAGACUAGAGAUCGAGGGUCAGCAUGCAGAGGAUCGGAGUACCGAACUGCCAAAAGAAGCUGACAACACAGAUGAGGUGACGCUGACGGAGCGUGUGCUGAUGUUCGGUGGCAUUGCUCUGGCUGCGUUUGUGUUUUUUCUGGCUACAGUCAUUGCAGGAGGAAUCCUUCACUAUCGCGGUUGGCAGAAAGGAUGGAGCGCAGCUGGUCUGGCUGAUCAAAAAUUACCUAAGUGACACAUUUAUGUGCUUUAUUUUAAAGUCACAAUAUAUCCCUGGCUCAGAUGUUUUCUCCUGCUGGCCAGAUCUUUCACUUUAGAAAAGCUGAGAUGUUGCAAAUGUCACCUUUUUCAGCACCAGUGAAAACUAAAUCUUAAUAAUUCUGUUUUUCUGUCUUUUUAACCUAUCUUUGUUCAUUGUCUCCUAAUGUGAUCUUGCUUAGGGAUUUUAAUAUUCGUAUUGAUAAUGCAGAUAGUGUAUCAAACAGCUUUGGUUUAAAACAAUUUAUAAAUUUUCCUACCCAUUUAAAGGGUCAUACGCUGCAUGGAUCUUAUGUGUUGUUCAGGUGUAGUUCCUUAUAAUUGCACAUCAUAAUUUCCGAUGUGUCUUUGUCAAAUCAUAUGCUGGUGUCCUUUAAUGCUCAGUUACCUGUAUUCAACCUGUGCUCAAUCUAUGUCGUUUUGGAAAAUAAAAAACAUUGUCUCA
Molecule: long non-coding RNA, 1125 nt
Filed under: Sinocyclocheilus grahami
Lineage: Eukaryota; Metazoa; Chordata; Actinopteri; Cypriniformes; Cyprinidae
Description: lncRNA (ENSSGRG00000012016.1)
Source: RNAcentral